GUUUGGAUGAGCUCGAGCAGCUAACUAGUUAUGUGUGUUGUGCUGGCUUCAAAGACAGGUGGCCAGCAUUUGGAAGAAAACAUCAGUUUUGGAAAGAUACCUCUGAAUUUCUCUUUGUAAACAUGGAAGCAGUACGCAUAGCUGAUGCCUGUCGAAACACUGUUCAGAGGGAGCUGCAAAACCGCUUCUCCUCUCCUGACAAUGCCAAGGCUGAAUACAAUUUGACCAAUAAAACAAACUCUUCUUGCCCAAUGAUGAACAAUGUGUUUUAUCAGGCACUGGUCAGACAAUAUCAGAGCUCUGUCGAGAAGAACAGAUCGGUGUGGUGACUAAGCUGUUCCAGGAAUAUGCACUUCUUUAUUAUGAAAGAGUUUAUCCUUCCGAUUAUCUAAUUCUCUCUCUUGAGGCUAUGGUGCAAUUGGAUCAUGGUGGUAGAACCAAUGUGAUGUACAACUUGGCGAAAGCAAUAGGCACGAAGAGACCUAACAGUCAGGAAUCACGGCUACCUGUCUCAAGAAUGCCAAUGGGACUCAUUGAGUAUUGCUCUAAUUUCUUCUGUUCGUCUGAUAUACAACAAGUUCGUUACCCUGAUGACUACAGAAAGUGGCUAGUGUCCAUGUUUACUCUCUUCGGAACGAAUGGGUAAAAAUCUUCUGUGGUCCAAUGUGGAAAAUUAUGUCAACUUCUCAGUCAGUCCCUGAGCCACGCCAUGGAGGCCUUGACCCACUUGAGGCAAGAGUCAACGUCCCUGGGCUCUCUGAAAGAACUCUUGAAAGAGACAUUGUUAGCAGUGGAAUUUCUUUGGGAUCAGAGGUUCAGCUAAAGAUACUUGAUGCUGCUCACAAGAGAAAUCCGAACACAAGCUGGUGGUUGAAAGGGGAUGGAUGUGAUCUUGUUUCUGGAUUGAAAGAAUCGAUGCGUCAUGAGUGGAGUGGGGAUGUUGAUCUUGACACUGGUGACUUACAGCAAGAGUUUAAGGUUUACAGAGACCUGCUUGAUUUCUACAAGGCAAUAAGGAUUGGCAGUAACUGCGUGGAAGACUUGGGGAAAUGCUGCCAGAUAUUACUUGAAGAAAAGAUAUUCAUUCUGACAGCUUUAGAGCAUGCAGACGCCACGAAAAGGGAACAACUACAAAGCAACUGUUUGAAGGUGGUUGGAAAGUCGACGAUAUACAGCAGCUUAGAAAGCAGAAUCAGCAGCUUAUUGUCAAUGUUCGUGCAGUUGCCAUACCAGUCAGUCCAUUUCCAGCAUGAAAGAAAAUUUAUGCAAUUUCUCUAGAAAUUUAUACUGACAAAAACGACAGGUUGCAACACACGUGUUUGUGCUAAUGAUUAGCAGUGAAAGAAGAGAAAGAAAACCUUAUGCUUUACCACUUCAACUGCUUCCCUACCACUCUAUCAAUGAGCAAACAAUUCGUCGUAUUGUUUGCAAUAUUCUCAAAUUGAUGAAAGCUCGUGGAAUGAAUGUUGUUGGAUUUAGUAGCGACGGUGAGUAUAAUUCGAUGAGAAACAAAGGGUAUACCAGACCCCUGUCUGUGCUUCAAAUUCGCUCUACCAUCAGGGCUAAGUACUCCCGCUUAUAAAAGAAAGUAUCUGCUGACUCCAAAACUGAUGGCAAACUCAUUGAUCACAUGUCUGAAACCAAGUCCUUUCGUAUCAGCACAGCUACUAUGUGAGAUACACAUUUGGAAGGAAGUUCUUGGCCUCACAUGGGAGGAUAUCAUAUCUCGAUUUAGACCUCGCACGGUUCCAAGUGGCUACAAAUUUCAUUCGUGGAUUCCAGGAAAGAGAGAAGAAGAAGUGGACAAAUUGAGGUCUAUUUUAGCUCAACUUGAGUUCACCACACCGUCAGAGAAUACGAUCGAAAUGGUGUACCUUUCAGACAACAUUUGCAUGUGCCAGAAGUUCAUCCAGAAACUGGAAACGUCUUUUAUGAGAGAUAAGACCCGGCCCAUGUACUGAAGAGGAUGGCCAAGUGUACCCGUAAUGGAGGUCCAGAUGACAUUGAAGUAGAGCACUAUAUGGAAGCUCUCAAGGACGAAACCUCUAGAUUGACACACUCUGCUCUUGUCGGUUUGAGAAAGCAAUCGGUCAGUGAUGCUGAAAGAUUGUUUUCUCUACCUCUGGCACACUUCAUGGAAAGGAAAGGAUACACAGCUGAGGCCAACUACAUUCAUGCUGUAAACGGUUGGAGACGUGCAGCUGAUGAGCGUGGAUUAUCUCAGCUUCAGAGAUGCCGGCUGAACUACAAGUUCCUGCAGUAUAUUCUGGACGAUCUCAUGCCCUGGCACCAGUCUGAAUAUGACUUCAGCUUAUUGGAAGUAAACAAGGACAUAUCCAGUGUGCGUGGGUUUAGUGAAGUGUUGAUUGCAGUUAUCUUACACAUUGAGACCUCUGAGUUUCGACGAAUUGAGCUAGUUAACCGGAGUUUGCCACCUGAACACCCACGAGCAUCUACCACUGAUGAUGUAGAGUGUUUUUUUAGUGUGGUGAGGGAUUUACUCGGGAAAAACUUUACGUCGAAAGAAGUGAAGUUUUCUUGGAGAAAAAUCUGUAAUGAGUAUGAGAAACGGAAUGACCCCGAUCUGCCAUAUUUUUAUUAUACCUCCAACCACGACCGCUUCUAUGAGGGUGACAGACCUGAUUUUGACAUUCCAUCCACACAAUCACCAAGAAAAAUGUCUAGAGUCUCGAGAGCUGAGUCGAUGGCCACUUCUAUGUUUUCAAGUGGGAAGGCCUCCCUUCCAUCACACAAAACUCUUCAUACAAGAGCGAUUUUUCACAAUCCACCAGAAGAGCUGCCGCCACCACCUAAUAUUCCCACUUACAUUUCCAAACACUUGUAUGUCUAACUUUCGAGGACAUAUUACUGCUAUUAUAUGUAUUCUUUACCUUGUAUUCUUUAAUUAUCA
RNA transcript from Halichondria panicea, 2911 nucleotides. RefSeq lists it as uncharacterized. NCBI's taxonomy places the organism in Eukaryota, Metazoa, Porifera, Demospongiae, Suberitida, Halichondriidae. The record is from RefSeq and is a predicted model, not a curated record. The transcript has 11 exons.